RNAcentral lists this transfer RNA (77 nucleotides) under Magnetococcales bacterium. Its description in RNAcentral is "tRNA-Asp". It matches the Rfam family "tRNA". Rfam says of the family: Transfer RNA (tRNA) molecules are approximately 80 nucleotides in length. Their secondary structure includes four short double-helical elements and three loops (D, anti-codon, and T loops). The record is from RNAcentral. Lineage: Bacteria; Pseudomonadati; Pseudomonadota; Magnetococcia; Magnetococcales.
GGGGGCGUAGCUCAGCUGGUUAGAGCGCCGGCCUGUCACGUCGGAGGUCGCGGGUUCGAGCCCCGUCGCUCCCGCCA